Molecule: ribosomal RNA, 484 nt
Filed under: uncultured bacterium
Lineage: Bacteria
Description: bacterial SSU rRNA
Rfam family: Bacterial small subunit ribosomal RNA
Source: RNAcentral
GCGUGGGCGAUGAAGGCCUUCGGGUCGUAAAGCCCUUUUGAGGGGGACGAUGAUGACGGUACCCCUCGAAUAAGCCACGGCUAACUACGUGCCAGCAGCCGCGGUAAUACGUAGGUGGCAAGCGUUGUCCGGUAUUUACUGGGCGGUAAAGGGCGUGCAGGCGGUUUGUUUAGUCUAGGGUGAAAGCUCCCGGCUUAACGUGGGAGAGGUCCUUGGAUACUGGCAAACUUGAGGGAGGCAGAGGAAAGUGGAAUUCCCGGUGUAGUGGUGAUAUGCGUAGAUAUCGGGAGGAACACCAGUGGCGAAGGCGGCUUUCUGGGCCUUACCUGACGCUGAGACGCGAAAGCGUGGGGAGCGAACCGGAUUAGAUACCCGGGUAGUCCACGCCGUAAACUAUGGACACUAGGUGUGGGGGGUAUCGACCCCCUCCGUGCCGCAGCUAACGCAAUAAGUGUCCCGCCUGGGGAGUACGGCCGCAAGGCUA